AAUGGGAGGGAUUCCUUACCGAUCACGAAAACGGCGAGGACGACAAAAAGGGACGCGAAAAGAGAAGAUCGCGCUUCCCGAUAUCUUGUGUCACUUCUCAUCGUGUCUCCUCGUAUUCUCGGCAACCGGAAUUUAUACACACAUACGCGGUUCACGGUUCACUGCUCCGUGUUCAUAUUAACACUUCCUCUGCUCCCCCUCCGCGGUGUGUGUCACACCUAUCCACGGCGAUUCAUUUCGACCGGACGAGAAGAGGGGGGAGGGCGAAAAGAGAAGAAAGAAAUCAAAUUUGAAAGAUAGAUUCAUUUUUGAUUCUUUACAUCUAAAAAAAACCCUCCACAUUUGUGUGAUAUUUUUGUGUAACAUCUCUUGAAACAGUUUACAUGAUUUACUUGAUAUACGAAAUCCUGUUUUUACGAAACAU
Apis florea (little honeybee) is the source of this 424-nucleotide long non-coding RNA. Lineage: Eukaryota; Metazoa; Arthropoda; Insecta; Hymenoptera; Apidae. The record is from RefSeq and is a predicted model, not a curated record.